RNAcentral lists this ribosomal RNA (223 nucleotides) under uncultured bacterium. Its description in RNAcentral is "partial 16S ribosomal RNA". It matches the Rfam family "Bacterial small subunit ribosomal RNA", at positions 328 to 539 of the family's 1533-position model. The record is from RNAcentral.
ACGCUCGACACCUACGGGAGGCAGCAGUAGGGAAUCUUCCACAAUGGGCGCAAGCCUGAUGGAGCAACACCGCGUGAGUGAAGAAGGGUUUCGGCUCGUAAAGCUCUGUUGUUGGAGAAGAACGUGCGUGAGAGUAACUGUUCACGCAGUGACGGUAUCCAACCAGAAAGUCACGGCUAACUACGUGCAAGCAGCCGCGGUAAUCUGAGCGGGCUGGCAAGGC